Molecule: non-coding RNA, 216 nt
Organism: Oncorhynchus mykiss (rainbow trout)
Lineage: Eukaryota; Metazoa; Chordata; Actinopteri; Salmoniformes; Salmonidae
Source: RefSeq, a predicted model, not a curated record
AGUUCUAGAAGCUAGUGAGUUGUAGGAUUCUAUAGAAAGAAAAAGGAGAAAAAAAUAACAUAAUUGUUUAUUAUUAUUUAGGAAUAGGUGUUUUUUCUUGUUUUUAAUUGUUGACAGCCAGUAGACACCAUGUUUAUAUUGGUGAAGGUGAAGCAGUGUAGUUGAUUAUAAUGUGAAAUGGAAGUUGUUUUCUGUUGGUGGUGAGCAAAAGUGUCC